GGCGCGGUAGCAAAGUGGUAAUGCAGCGGUCUGCAAAACCGCCAUCGGGGGUUCGAUUCCCCCCCGCGCCU
Molecule: transfer RNA, 71 nt
Filed under: bacterium
Lineage: Bacteria
Description: tRNA-Cys
Rfam family: tRNA
About the family: Transfer RNA (tRNA) molecules are approximately 80 nucleotides in length. Their secondary structure includes four short double-helical elements and three loops (D, anti-codon, and T loops).
Source: RNAcentral